This 253-nucleotide ribosomal RNA is filed under the name uncultured bacterium. RNAcentral describes it as "partial 16S ribosomal RNA". It matches the Rfam family "Bacterial small subunit ribosomal RNA", at positions 524 to 776 of the family's 1533-position model. The record is from RNAcentral.
UACGUAGGGGGCGAGCGUUGUUCGGAUUUACUGGGCGUAAAGGGCGCGUAGGCGGCGCCGCAAGUCGAGUGUGAAAGCCCCGGGCUCAACCUGGGAAUUGCGCUCGAGACUGUGGUGCUGGAGUUCGGGAGAGGAGCGUGGAAUUCCCAGUGUAGAGGUGAAAUUCGUAGAUAUUGGGAAGAACACCGGUGGCGAAGGCGGCGCUCUGGACCGAGACUGACGCUGAGGCGCGAAGGCGUGGGGAGCAAACAGG